UGCAGGAAUAUUAAUUUGAUGAAUACUCCCAA
RNAcentral lists this non-coding RNA (32 nucleotides) under Mus musculus (house mouse). The record is from RNAcentral. Lineage: Eukaryota; Metazoa; Chordata; Mammalia; Rodentia; Muridae.